This 282-nucleotide small nuclear RNA is filed under the name Jaculus jaculus (lesser Egyptian jerboa). RNAcentral describes it as "7SK RNA (ENSJJAG00000004054.1)". It matches the Rfam family "7SK RNA", at positions 1 to 288 of the family's 331-position model. Rfam says of the family: 7SK was discovered as an abundant small nuclear RNA in the mid-70s but a possible function has only recently been suggested. The record is from RNAcentral. Lineage: Eukaryota; Metazoa; Chordata; Mammalia; Rodentia; Dipodidae.
GUACGUGAGGGCGAUCUGGCUGCAACAUCUGUCACCCCAUUGAUCGCCAGGGUUGAUUCGGCUGAUCUGGCUGGCUAGGCAGGUGUCCCCUUCUUCCCUCACUGCUCCAUGUGCGUCCCUCCCGAAGCUGUGCACUCGGUCGAAGAGGACGACCUUCCCCGAAUAGAGGAGGACCGGUCUUCGGUCAAGGGUAUACGAGUAGCUGCGCUCCCCUGCUAGAACCUCCAAACAAGCUCUCGAGAAAAGGCAGACUGGGCUGGAGAGAUCACUUAGUGGUUAAGU